This 279-nucleotide unclassified non-coding RNA is filed under the name Hevea brasiliensis (rubber tree). The record is from RNAcentral. Lineage: Eukaryota; Viridiplantae; Streptophyta; Magnoliopsida; Malpighiales; Euphorbiaceae.
GAAAGAUUGCCGGCGGGUGGGGAUUAAGUGUCCGGUUGUGCCGGGGAUUCUGCCGAUCACGACGUAUCGGAAUUUUAAGUUUAUGACUGAGACGUGCCGGACGUUCGUGCCGGCGAAGGUGAUGGAGGCGGUGGAGGCGAAUAAGGGGGAUGAUAAGGCGUUGGCGGCGUAUGGUGUGGUGCAGGCGACAGAGAUGUGUAGGCGGAUAUUGGAUAGCGGGGUGCGGGAGCUGCAUUUUUAUACCAUGAAUAGGGAGGGACCGGCGGUGGCGGUGCUGAG